CCGAGCGUAGCUCAGUCUGGUAGAGCACUCCGUUUGGGGCGGAGGGGCCGUACGUUCAAAUCGUACUGUUCGGACCA
This 77-nucleotide transfer RNA is filed under the name bacterium. RNAcentral's name for it is "tRNA-Pro". It matches the Rfam family "tRNA". Rfam says of the family: Transfer RNA (tRNA) molecules are approximately 80 nucleotides in length. Their secondary structure includes four short double-helical elements and three loops (D, anti-codon, and T loops). Further hydrogen bonds mediate the characteristic L-shaped molecular structure. tRNAs have two regions of fundamental functional importance: the anti-codon, which is responsible for specific mRNA codon recognition, and the 3' end, to which the tRNAs corresponding amino acid is attached (by aminoacyl-tRNA synthetases). tRNAs cope with the degeneracy of the genetic code in two manners: having more than one tRNA (with a specific anti-codon) for a particular amino acid; and 'wobble' base-pairing, i.e. permitting non-standard base-pairing at the 3rd anti-codon position. The record is from RNAcentral.